UUAUAUAUAAGAUUUCACCUGUA
Molecule: small nuclear RNA, 23 nt
Filed under: Arabidopsis thaliana (thale cress)
Lineage: Eukaryota; Viridiplantae; Streptophyta; Magnoliopsida; Brassicales; Brassicaceae
Description: snRNA_10144
Source: RNAcentral